This 331-nucleotide ribosomal RNA is filed under the name uncultured bacterium. Its description in RNAcentral is "bacterial SSU rRNA". It matches the Rfam family "Bacterial small subunit ribosomal RNA", at positions 568 to 898 of the family's 1533-position model. The record is from RNAcentral.
CGCGUAGGCGGUUUGUACAGUCAGAAGUGAAAUUCCUGGGCUCAACCUGGGGACUGCUUUUGAUACGUGCAGACUUGAGUGAGGAAGAGGGUUGUGGAAUUUCCAGUGUAGAGGUGAAAUUCGUAGAUAUUGGAAAGAACACCGGUGGCGAAGGCGGCAACCUGGUCCUUUACUGACGCUGAGGCGCGAAAGCGUGGGGAGCAAACAGGAUUAGAUACCCUGGUAGUCCACGCUGUAAACGGUGUGUGCUGGAUGUUGGGGAACUUAGUUUCUCAGUGUCGUAGCUAACGCGAUAAGCACACCGCCUGGGGAGUACGGCCGCAAGGUUGAA